AUGAGUCUAUCUGGAGGGUGGAGAGAGGAAAUGACAGCGGGAGUGGGGGGGGGGGGCAGAAACCAGCCUUGGAGAGCUGAGGCUCUCUGGUUCUCUCCUCAGGCUUUUCUGGGGGCAGGGCAGCUCCAGGCUUGCUCUGAGCGGGGCAGCCGCUGGCCAGGGCUUCUCACGGACACUUUCUUUUCCUUCCCAAAUUUAGAGCCAAAGGCAGAGACGCAGCCAGCCUACAAGAACCUCAAGAUCCUCUAUGCUGUCUUGGCCUUCUUGGCUCUGCUCCUGGUUGCUUCCUUGGCAGCUACUGUUCUUCUUUAUACAUGGGAAAACGCGUGCCCAUGGCUCCAUGGGAAACCAGUCCCCUGCAACUCCACGGAUAACUCAACCCUGCUGGCCCUGAAGACAGAAAAGGACCAUCUGGAGAAAACCAGUGCUUCCUAUCAGGCCCUUCAGCGUAAAUACCGUAAGUUUCUGUUCAAUGGGGAGCCUGUCCUGGCCCCAAGCAGACUCUUCCUUUGGGGUCUCUCUGGGGGUGGAACAGAAGUCCAACAACAGCAUAACGAUGCCCUGGGAGAGAGUUCAGACUCCUCCAUGCCACUGUCUGGAGAUGGACGCUACCUGCUACCUUCUCCCCCUCGCCAACAACAUUCACUUCUUGGUCAAGGGGCCCAGCUCCCUUCCUGCUGCCCGCUAGCCCCAGACGGCUCCUCUGUCCGUUUGUGGGCCGUCCUCCACCUGCUCACAGACCCAUCUAGUCGCUUGGCCUCAGGUCUGUUUAGACUUCUGUCCUUCCCACUUAUAAUCAGGGUGGAUUUUGCUUGGCCACUGAGUCCCCACUUCCAUAUUUUCCAUAACUCCCCAUGGAAAGCAGCCCUGAAUGUUUCCCAGGACUUCCAUCAGGAUGGUGGGCUCUUCAGGAAGGACACUCAGAAAAUUGGUGCCCCCUAGGCAGUGGCUAUCCAACCAUAAAAAACAUGGCACGAAACCCCUGGCAAGGGCUCCAUCUGAUGUGACCUCCGUCUAAAAGCUGGGCGCUGCCUCUGACCUUAUCCCAAAAGCAGACCAUGAAUCUCCAGCCUUCUUCUCUCAUUCUCUCAGAACCCUUCAGAGACUCCUGGGUAUCCUAGCCCCGCGGGGUCACUAUGGACCUACCUUUGCCUUUAGCCACAUCUUUCUGUCACAUCACCUCUGGAGACACCUCCAGUGCCUGCUCAGUUGUGCAAGAAUUGAGGAGAUUUAGGGAGGGAGGGAGGAAGGGAGGGGAAGGAAGGGAGGAAGGGAGGAAGGUAGGAAGGUAGGAAGGGAGGAAGGAAGGAAGGAAGGAAGGAAGGAAGGAAGGAAGGAAGGAAGGAAGGAAGGAAGGAGAGUUUAUUUAGUCUCCUAGGCUGCCUCCUCCUCAGAUCCUCCGGGUCAGGGAGCUUUGGGAAAAUGUGGGUAGUUUUAUUUCAAUAUGCUCAGCUCCCUUGGUAGGUAGUGUGGUGUGUCUCACAUCAUGCACUUAGCCACUGCUCUGGUAAAAGAAAAGGCCAAAGAGGCAUGUAAAGAAAGACGCAGAAGCCCUGGGCUGGGCGGAUCUACAGCCCCUAUUGACAUGUUGGUUGUCUCCCCGCUUCUUAAGGGUUGGUCUACACACUCCUCUCUGAAGGCUGGAGGCUGCAUAACUGGAAUAUCUACUAUUUUUCCAGUGAAACAAAGUCCUGGGAAAAGGCUCAGCAGUCCUGUGAGUCCAAGAACUCCAACCUGGUUUCAGUGACCUCAAGGGAAGAACAGGUAUAUGCAUGCACGUAUGGGCACAGGCAUGCACACAUGUAACACCAAUAACAGACCAUGAGAGAGACAGAGGAGAGGGUGGGAGAUGCAAACAGCCUCCUCUCACACUAGCACCCCAAGAAAGGAAAUAGAGGGAUUCUGGGAAUGAAACAGAAUCCAACCGUUGUCCUGUGGAAGCAGAGAGCUCAGGGUGGGAAGGAGCUUCAGAGUCAAGGAGUUGAAUGCCACUUAAACCUGAAGCCUGAGGGGCAGCCGGGUGGCUCAAUGGGUAGAGCCAGGCCCGGAGACGGGGGGUCCUGGGUUCAAGUCUGGCCACAGACACUUCCUAGCCUUUGCUGCCCAUCUACCUUGGAACCGACACUUGGUUAUUGGCACGAAAAGAGCGCCUUUCUUUGGGGUUGGUUUUCUAUGUGUCUGAGCUUACAACAAUGACCGACAUGGAAAAUGCAAGUGGUGGGGAAGUUGGAUGGGGAGGUUGGAUGGGGAGGAUCAUGUCCUUUCAGAAAACAUGUCCAGAACUCGUCGCCUGUGAUUGGGAGAAUAAAAUAUGGACUUAGAAAAGGAACCUGCA
This is a long non-coding RNA of Monodelphis domestica (gray short-tailed opossum), 2335 nucleotides long. The record is from Ensembl. NCBI's taxonomy places the organism in Eukaryota, Metazoa, Chordata, Mammalia, Didelphimorphia, Didelphidae.